RNAcentral lists this ribosomal RNA (728 nucleotides) under Pseudomonas putida. RNAcentral describes it as "bacterial SSU rRNA". It matches the Rfam family "Bacterial small subunit ribosomal RNA", at positions 35 to 758 of the family's 1533-position model. The record is from RNAcentral. Lineage: Bacteria; Pseudomonadati; Pseudomonadota; Gammaproteobacteria; Pseudomonadales; Pseudomonadaceae.
GCUGGCGGCAGGCCUAACACAUGCAAGUCGAGCGGAUGACGGGAGCUUGCUCCUGGAUUCAGCGGCGGACGGGUGAGUAAUGCCUAGGAAUCUGCCUGGUAGUGGGGGACAACGUUUCGAAAGGAACGCUAAUACCGCAUACGUCCUACGGGAGAAAGCAGGGGACCUUCGGGCCUUGCGCUAUCAGAUGAGCCUAGGUCGGAUUAGCUAGUUGGUGGGGUAAUGGCUCACCAAGGCGACGAUCCGUAACUGGUCUGAGAGGAUGAUCAGUCACACUGGAACUGAGACACGGUCCAGACUCCUACGGGAGGCAGCAGUGGGGAAUAUUGGACAAUGGGCGAAAGCCUGAUCCAGCCAUGCCGCGUGUGUGAAGAAGGUCUUCGGAUUGUAAAGCACUUUAAGUUGGGAGGAAGGGCAGUAAGCGAAUACCUUGCUGUUUUGACGUUACCGACAGAAUAAGCACCGGCUAACUCUGUGCCAGCAGCCGCGGUAAUACAGAGGGUGCAAGCGUUAAUCGGAAUUACUGGGCGUAAAGCGCGCGUAGGUGGUUCGUUAAGUUGGAUGUGAAAGCCCCGGGCUCAACCUGGGAACUGCAUCCAAAACUGGCGAGCUAGAGUAUGGUAGAGGGUGGUGGAAUUUCCUGUGUAGCGGUGAAAUGCGUAGAUAUAGGAAGGAACACCAGUGGCGAAGGCGACCACCUGGACUGAUACUGACACUGAGGUGCGAAA